Molecule: unclassified non-coding RNA, 300 nt
Filed under: uncultured Diversisporaceae
Lineage: Eukaryota; Fungi; Glomeromycota; Glomeromycetes; Diversisporales
Description: sequence contains 5.8S rRNA gene, ITS2
Rfam family: 5.8S ribosomal RNA (bases 1-71)
Source: RNAcentral
GUGAAUCAUCGAAUCUUUGAACGCAAAUUGUACUUUCCAGUAAUCUGGGAAGUAUGCUUGGUUGAGGGUCAUCGAAAUAACAUUCGUGAAUUUUUUUGCGGAUUUGAGUUUUCCAGUAUUAAUUAUAAUAAAUAUGAUAAAUGUUGGUGACUUUAAAAUUAUUUAUAACUUGGUACAAGUUGAAAACGUGCUAUAUGUGUGGUUCGCUGACAACUUGUCCAUCUCUAUAUACUAUGUGCGCACUUGGUUUUUACACUCUGUGCGAACAUAUAUUUUUUUUUUGACCUCAGCUCAAGCAAG